CACGCGCACACACACGCACACGCCCGCGCACACACUCUCUCACACACACACAGAGAUUGGAGAGAGACAGGAGAGAGACAUGUUUUCAUCUAUCCUUUGUGGACUUCUGUUGUUUUUACUGCUGUGAAAUUUGACUUGCGAUAUCUGCUUGUAAAACAUCAUCAAAUCCAAAUUCAUUAUAUUCCACUUUUUCUAUUACAUGGUUUCUGCUUCACUGAUUCAUAUCUGUUUUACCUAUUCUGUAAGGGAGGAGAAGCUGCAAAGCAAUGAAGAGAAAAGCUGAAGUCAGUGAUUAGGAGUGUCUGUGUAAGUAAAAGCAACAGGCAAUUACUGAGUGUGGUGUGAGAGGCACGGAAAGAUUGGGAAUUCAGCAAGAAGAGGAAUUGAAGUCAAACCUCACCUACUUCCCAGAGUCUUCUGGAUUUUCUGUUAGAAGCUUCAGUAUCUGAGAUAUUCCUAUGCAUUCUACUGCUUUAAUCCCACCUAAGUAGAGAUGUCCACAACAGAGAGAAUGGAGCUGUCACAUCGUUUCAACUGCCCAGGAAAGGACUCAGGCAACAAAUAAACAGCUAAGAUUUUACUAGAGUAUGAAAGGGAGAGCACUGGAGUGCAGUGCGGGGAUGGAGAUGCAGCUGUGGUGGCUGGAAGUACAGGAGGGCAGCUGGAGGCACCUGGCCUCUGAAGCCUGUCUUCUUCAUCUGGGUGAGAUCUGCUGGAGUCAGGAAGGACUUCCUGCUGCAAGGAUAAAGGUGAAGUGUGGUGGCGUAAUCAUGACUCACUGCAGCCUCGAACUCCGGGACUCAAGCUAAUCUCUUUCCUCAGCCUUCCCAGCAGCUGGGACUACAGAAUCCCACCCAUCCUAAGGCAUUACAUUUAGUCAUCAUAGCUCUUUCUUCACAGAAUUAGAAAAAACUACUUUAAAUUUCAUAUGGAACCAAAAAAGAGCCCAUAUAGCCAAGAAAAUCUUAAGCAAAAAGAACAAAGAUGGAGGCAUCAUGCUAACUGACUUCAAACUAUACUACAAGGCUACAGUAACCAAAACAGCAUGGUACUGGUGCCAAAACAGAUAUAUAGACCAAUGGAAUAGAACAGAGGCCUCAGAAAAACGUCACCCAUCUACAACCAUCUGAUCUUCAACAAAUCUGACAAAAACAAAUAAUGGGGAAGAAAUUCUGUAUUUAAUAAAUGAUCUUGGGAAAACUGGCUAGCCACAUGCAGAAAACUGAAGCUGGGCUCCUUCCUUACACCUUAUACAAAAAUUAACUCAAGAUGGAUUAAAGACUUAAACGUAAGACCUAAAACCAUAGAAACCCUAGAAGAAUACCUAGGCAAUACCAUUGAGGACACAGACAUGGGCAAAUGACUAAAGCAACAAAAGCCAAAAUUGACAAAUGGGAGCUAAUUAAACUAAAGAGCUUCUGAACAGCAAAAGAAACUAUCAUCAGAGUGAACAGGCAACCUACAGAAUGGGAGAAAAUUUUUGCAAUCUAUCCACCUGACAAAGGGCUAAUAUCCAGAAUCUACAAAUAACUUAAACAAAUUUACAAGAAAAAAAACAAACAACCCCAUCAAGAAGUGGGUGAAGGAUAUGAAAAGACACUUCUCAAAAGAAGACAUUUAUGUGGCCAACAAACAUGAAAAAAAGCUCAUCAUCACUGGGCAUUAGAGAAAUGCAAAUCAAAACCACAAUGAGAUACCAUCUCACGCCAGUUAGAAUGGCGAUCUUUAAAAAGUCAGGAAACAACAGAUGCUGGAGAGGAUGUGGAGAGAUAGGAAUGCUUUUACACUGUUGGUAGGAGUGUAAAUUAGUUCAGCAAUUGUGGAAGACUGUGUGGAGAUUCCUCAAGGAUCUAGAACCAGAAAUGCCAUUUGACCGAGCAAUCCCAUUACUGGCUAUAUACCCAAAGGAUUAUAAAUCAUUCUACUAUAGAGACACAUCCACCUGUAUGUUGAUUGCAGCACUGUUCACAAUAGCAAAGACUUGGAACCAAUGCAAAUGCCCAUCAAUGAUCGGCUGGAUAAAGAAAAUGUGGCACAUAUACACCGUGAAAUACUAUGUAGCCAUAAAAAAGGAUGAGUUCAUGUCCUUUGCAGGGAUAUGGAUGAAGCUGGAAACCAUCAUUCUCUGCAAACUAAUACAGGAACAGAAUGCCAAACACCACAUGUUCUCACUCAUAAGUGGGAGUUGAACAAUGAGAACACAUGAAUACCGGGAGGGAACAUCACACACCAGGGCCUGUCAGAGGGUCGGGGGCUAGGGAAGGGAUAGCAUUAGGAGAAAUACCUAAUGUAGAUUAUGGGUUGAUGGGUGCAGCAAACCACCAUGGCACAUGUAUAGCUAUGUAACAAACCUGCACGUUCUACACAUGUAUCCCAGAACUUAAAGCAUAAGUAAAAUAAAAAAAUAAUUAAAUGAGGAAGAAGAGUCAAAUUUUUGUGCAGAAAAAUUUGAAAGAAUUUAUGUAGAUACUACUUCCUCAAUGAGGAAGAGCAUAACUCUAUGCUCUUUAAGUCGGACAUGAACAUACUCAUUUCUUUCAAAAGAGUACAAUAUGAAAAGAGGGAAAAAGAAUAACUGUACAGUAAAGAAACCUGACAAUUGCUACCUUGGCCAAGUGACCCAGGUCAACAUCAACAGUGAUAGUGACGUUUAUGUCAUGUCCACUUGAAAUGAUGUGAUUAAAAAAAGGCACUUUACCUCUGUGUUCUUCUUCCUAUUCCCAUAAUUCCAGACUAAUUAUUUAAAAAUUUUCAUAUGUAUUCCAAUUAAAGAACAUUCUAAAAAAUACCCAACUGGUAAUUCUCAAAACUGCCUAGGUCAUCGAAACAAGCAAAAUUUGAGAAACUGUUACAUUUAUGGAUUUUUAAAUAUUGAAACAAAUCUCAUAUUUCUGGGAUGAAAUCUACUUCAUUAUGAAGCAUUAUCCUUUUAAAUAUAUUGCUUGAAUUAAUUUGCUAAAAUACUGUGUAGGAUUUUGCAUCUAUACUAAUGAGAGAUAGUGAUCUUUAGUUUUCUUUUUUCUUUUGUUUUGUUUUCUGAAACAGAGUCUUCUUGCUCUAUCGCCCAGGCUGGAGUGCAGUAGCAUGAUCAUAGCUCACUGCUGCCUCAAACUGAAGCAAUUAAAGACUGCUCAAGUAAUCCUCC
This 3145-nucleotide long non-coding RNA is filed under the name Homo sapiens (human). Its description in RNAcentral is "HSALNT0323673". Lineage: Eukaryota; Metazoa; Chordata; Mammalia; Primates; Hominidae. The record is from RNAcentral.